UUGAGCGAUUUACUUCGGUAAAGAGCGGCGGACGGGUGAGUAACGCGUGGGUAACCUACCCUGUACACACGGAUAACAUACCGAAAGGUAUGCUAAUACGGGAUAAUAUAUUUGAGAGGCAUCUCUUAAAUAUCAAAGGUGAGCCAGUACAGGAUGGACCCGCGUCUGAUUAGCUAGUUGGUAAGGUAACGGCUUACCAAGGCGACGAUCAGUAGCCGACCUG
This 223-nucleotide ribosomal RNA is filed under the name Clostridioides difficile. Its description in RNAcentral is "partial 16S ribosomal RNA". It matches the Rfam family "Bacterial small subunit ribosomal RNA", at positions 62 to 294 of the family's 1533-position model. Lineage: Bacteria; Bacillati; Bacillota; Clostridia; Peptostreptococcales; Peptostreptococcaceae. The record is from RNAcentral.